UCUUGUGUGAUUCUUGAUGGAUUUCUCAUUUAGUGUCAAACAACCUACUGUAUUUUAAGGGGAUGGUGCAAGCUCACGUUUUUUUUUGUGGAGCAAACGGAUUUUUCUAACCACUUCAAAGAUGCCUUUUCUCCUUCUUGUCAACAUGGCCUCUAUUUAUGCAAGUUGUACCCCGUUCCUCAUGGAUGCUUCACAGCUUAAUGCGGUUGAUUUAUAAUCACCUUGCUCACGAUCAACUUCGGUUCAUAUAAUGCUGCAAACUUAAAGAUUUUCCGUGAUUUCUCACUGGCAUUCCCGAAAGCAGUGCGCUUUCAAGAAACGAUUAUUUUGGUGUAUGAACAGUUGACAACAAAAUUUCGCCUGGGGAUCACAUGUUCCCAUUCCAAACACUGAAGAUGAUAAUGUUUUUUUAAAUUUCAAUUAAAUGCAACAAUUUAAAGAUAUUUUUAUUUAGAAUGCCGAAAACUAUUGGUUCUGGUAUUGCGACAGAUUCCAUCUUAAAAAAGAUUCGUGUCGUAAGUCAGGAAUCAAUCAUUGAACGAGUUGUUUAUUUCACUAAGGCUAACGAAGACGUUUUAUCUGUUAUCGACGAAAAGCCUCAUCUCAAGGGGUCGCCGAUGAUGUGUUGUAUAAAUAUUUUUUUACACCUCCGUUUUUAGUGUCCGCCCUGGUAGGGUGUGUCCUUCAGUGGCUGAUUUUCUUACAAAGUUAAGUGCGGAGAAAGGGGACGGACAACAAUUGAAGCAGCCCACACUGGAUCUCUUCAUUUGCUCAAUUUUUCGAAAAUAGCUUUUCACCUACUUUACAUAUUUUUCGAAUGAAUCUACAGAUGUUGAACUUCUUUUAACUAACUUCAUUUAAAGCGCAUUUAUCGAAAUGC
This is a long non-coding RNA of Daphnia carinata, 880 nucleotides long. RefSeq lists it as uncharacterized. The record is from RefSeq and is a predicted model, not a curated record. The transcript is spliced from 4 exons. NCBI's taxonomy places the organism in Eukaryota, Metazoa, Arthropoda, Branchiopoda, Diplostraca, Daphniidae.